GCGCAGAGGGCGAUCAUGGGCGUGGCCAGCUGAUAACCGACUGAUAGCUGAUGAGCCGAUGGCCAACUAUCGAUAGCUUACCUUGUGGGCGAGUGUGUGGUGGCCAAUGGCACGAUGCU
Drosophila navojoa is the source of this 119-nucleotide long non-coding RNA. The record is from RefSeq and is a predicted model, not a curated record. Lineage: Eukaryota; Metazoa; Arthropoda; Insecta; Diptera; Drosophilidae.